Molecule: ribosomal RNA, 218 nt
Filed under: uncultured bacterium
Lineage: Bacteria
Description: partial 16S ribosomal RNA
Rfam family: Bacterial small subunit ribosomal RNA
Source: RNAcentral
CGUGAGUAACCUGCCUCUAAGAGGGGAAUAACAUUCUGAAAAGAAUGCUAAUACCGCAUAACAUAUACUUAUCGCAUGGUAGAUAUAUCAAAGAUUUAUCGCUUAGAGAUGGACUCGCGUCCGAUUAGUUAGUUGGUGAGGUAACGGCUCACCAAGACUGCGAUCGGUAGCCGGACUGAGAGGUUGAACGGCCACAUUGGGACUGAGACACGGCCCAG